RNAcentral lists this unclassified non-coding RNA (390 nucleotides) under soil metagenome. RNAcentral's name for it is "partial contains 5.8S ribosomal RNA, internal transcribed spacer 2, and large subunit ribosomal RNA". The stretch from base 1 to 122 matches the Rfam family "5.8S ribosomal RNA", at positions 35 to 154 of the family's 154-position model. The record is from RNAcentral.
GAUGAAGAACGUAGCGAAAUGCAAUACUUGGUGUGAAUUGCAGAAUCCCGUGAACCAUCGAGUCUUUGAACGCAAGUUGCGCCCGAAGCCAUUAGGCCGAGGGCACGCCUGCCUGGGCGUCACACGUCGUUGCCCCCCCAUCUACUCCUUCGGGAUUGCGGGGGCGGAUGAUGGCCUCCCGUGCGCCUCGUCGCGCGGUUGGCAUAAAUACCAAGUCCUCGGCGACGCACGCCACGACAAUCGGUGGUUGCGAAACCUCGGUUGCCCGUCGUGUGCGGUCGUCGCGCAUCGAGGGCUCGAAAAAAUUGCCGGGCUCCGGCUCGGCUUUCAACGCGACCCCAGGUCAGGCGGGGUUACCCGCUGAAUUUAAGCAUAUCAAUAAGCGGAGGA